UUUAGUAGAGGCAGGUUUCACCAUGUUGGCUAGGCUGGUCUCAAACCCCUGACCUCAAGUGAUCCACCUGCCUCGGGGGUUUUGCUCGUUUUCUGGGGCAGUGUUUUGGGGUUUGCCUUUCCUCUGUGAGGUGCCGGGUUUUCCAGCAGGGUGGUGUUGUGGGAGGAACGGGGUGUUCACCAUGGCAACAGCUAAUGCUGCCAGCGUGUGAUGAGUGUUGCCUGCCAGCACCGGUGGGCGCUUUCCGCUGCCCCCGUGUAGCCCCCACCACCACCUGUGAGAAGGCAGCACCACCCCCACUGUGCAGACGAGGGAUUGAGGCUCAGGAGGCGGCAGCUGUAGGGGUGGGCUUGGGGUCCGGGAGGAGCCGCCCUGCAGGCCUCCUGUGAAGCAGCGGGCUUCAUGGCUCUUCCCCUGUCCUCCUCACGUCCACCUGGGCCUGGGGACGGCUGCCACACACCUGCUUCUGCUGCACCGCGCACACUAAGUUCUCCUGAGACCCAAGCCUCAGAGGACCGCCUCAGGCCCGGGAUGACCCUGGCUGGCAUCUGAGAACCCAUGUGGUCAGGAGAUUGCAGCUGAGAAGGCGCGAAGCUGCUGGUCCCUGAAAAGCUGCCGCCUACCCUGGUCUGGAGCCCCUGCGAGCUGGCGUAGAGCAGGAAGGGGUUGCAUCACAGCUGAGUCCUCCCCUGCGCAGCACAUGGUACGAUGCCACCCCACCGAGGGCCGUUCUGGGGCCCAGGGGCCACGUCAGCCAGGGUGUCAUCCGCCGGGCGUUUGGAGUAAGCAGGGAAAGGUGUCGGCGUCCAGCAUCCUGGUGCGGAGAACGCUGCCGAACCACUGUGAGAAGGCGGGGAGACUGCUUGUCAGGCUGAGCUGACUUCCUGGGCGGUCGGGAGAAGGAUGUGCAGACUGUGGAACUGGCGGGUGUCAGGGACCAGAAGUUACGAAGGCGGUGGGAAGAGGAGCAGCUGUGGGAAGAAGGACUGGCUGCCAAGACCAUGGGCUGUGGGCAUCCUCAGGGCAGGAGCUGGGUGGAAGAGGGGCCUCUUCAGUCCUCUUGGCAGUGAAGGUAAACAGAUGUCAGCAGGGUGGACUCGCACUUUGAGCCUAAGGUAGCGAGGAGGCUUCUGAGCCGACCUGGGGAUGGCGGCGCACUCUGAUACAGGCAGUGCGCGGCUGUCUCGUGCUGAGAUCAGGAUUUUGAGUAAAGCAGAGAUUUCUGGACGUUUGUCCUUCAGAAAUUAGCGGAGGGACAAGGGCAUUGGCGCUGUGGAGAGGUAGGGACCCAUGGGUAUGGGGCGGAAGACCAGGGCACGACCAGACACCGCCAGGGUGCUGCACAUGUAGGUAGCAGGGGGAGGUGGUCCAGGCAAGAUGGGAUGGGAGGGGCUCAGGAGCAGCCAGGUUCUAGUGCUGGUGAUGAGGUGGGUGGUGGCAGGGGCAUGUGGAAGGGUCUUCUGACCAUGGCUUACAGAGGGCUUGGUGCUGGGGGGCCUGGAGUUGUGGAAAGGGUGAAGGGAAGAGUUGGUCCCAUAUUCCCAGAUGGCAGAGUGGAAACAGAAGCACUCGGCCCCUGAGCAGCCUUCGCCGUCUUUACAGUGAACACAGUCCUCAAACCAAACUGGGAAGGAUUCGAAUCCUGGAUGGGUGAUGUGGUCCUGGCUGUGUAAACUGACCCUGAUGAAAGACAUGCCCAUCCUGUGAGAGGGACAGCCAUCUAGCAUCUUUUUUUUUUUUUUAAUUUUUAUUUUUUGAGACAGAGUCUUGCUCCGUUACCCAGGGUGUAGUUCGAUGGCACUAUCUUGGCUCGCUGCAACCUCUUGAGCCUCAUGGGUUCAAGCGAUUCUCCUGCCUUGGCCUCCUGAGUAGCUGGGAUUACAGGCAUGCACCACCACACCUGGCUAAUUUUUUACAUUUUUAGUAGAGACAGAGGUUUUGCUGUGUUGGCCAGGCUGGUCUUGAACUUCUGACUUCAAGCAAUCCGCCCGCCUCAGCUUCCCAAAGUUGGUGGAAUUACAGGCAUGAGCCACUGUGCCCAGCCCAGCUCAGCAUCUUUGGAAAAGAGCAGAGGGCUGGGCACGGUGGCUCACACCUGCAAUCUCAGCACCUUGGGAGGCCGAGGUAGGCGGAGUGCUGGAGCCCAGGAGUUUGAGGCCAGCCUGGGCAACACAGUGAGACCCCAUCUCUACAAAAAAAAAAAAAAAAAAAAAAAAAAA
This 2219-nucleotide long non-coding RNA is filed under the name Homo sapiens (human). Its description in RNAcentral is "HSALNT0383937". The record is from RNAcentral. Lineage: Eukaryota; Metazoa; Chordata; Mammalia; Primates; Hominidae.